RNAcentral lists this transfer RNA (71 nucleotides) under Loxodonta africana (African savanna elephant). It matches the Rfam family "tRNA". Rfam says of the family: Transfer RNA (tRNA) molecules are approximately 80 nucleotides in length. Their secondary structure includes four short double-helical elements and three loops (D, anti-codon, and T loops). Lineage: Eukaryota; Metazoa; Chordata; Mammalia; Proboscidea; Elephantidae. The record is from Rfam by way of RNAcentral.
GCCUUGGUGGUUCAGUGGUAGAAUUCUCGCCUCCCACGCGUGAGAUCCAGGUCUGAUUCCUGGCCAAUGCA